CAGGUAGUCAAGAUGAGAAUUCUAAGGUGAGCGAGCGAACUCUCGUUAAGGAACUCGGCAAAAUGACCCCGUAACUUCGGGAGAAGGGGUGCUCUUUGAGGUUCACGCUUCGAAGAGCCGCAGUGAAUAGGCCCAAGCGACUGUUUAUCAAAAACACAGGUCUCUGCUAAACCGUAAGGUGACGUAUAGGGGCUGACGCCUGCCCGGUGCUGGAAGGUUAAGAGGAGUGGUUAGCGCAAGCGAAGCUACGAAUCGAAGCCCCAGUAAACGGCGGCCGUAACUAUAACGGUCCUAAGGUAGCGAAAUUCCUUGUCGGGUAAGUUCCGACCCGCACGAAAGGCGUAACGAUUUGGGCACUGUCUCAACGAGAGACUCGGUGAAAUCAUAGUACCGGUGAAGAUGCCGGUUACCCGCGACAGGACGGAAAGACCCCGUGGAGCUUUACUGUAGCCUGAUAUUGAAAUUCGGUACAGUUUGUACAGGAUAGGUAGGAGCCUUAGAAGCGUGAGCGCUAGCUUACGUGGAGGCAUUGGUGGGAUACUACCCUAAUUGUAUUGGAUUUCUAACCCGCAGCACUUAUCGUGCUGGGAGACAGUGUCAGGCGGGCAGUUUGACUGGGGCGGUCGCCUCCUAAAGAGUAACGGAGGCGCUCAAAGGUUCCCUCAGAAUGGUUGGAAAUCAUUCAUAGAGUGUAAAGGCAUAAGGGAGCUUGACUGCGAGACCUACAAGUCGAGCAGGGUCGAAAGACGGACUUAGUGAUCCGGUGGUUCCGCAUGGAAGGGCCAUCGCUCAACGGAUAAAAGCUACCCCGGGGAUAACAGGCUUAUCUCCCCCAAGAGUUCACAUCGACGGGGAGGUUUGGCACCUCGAUGUCGGCUCAUCGCAUCCUGGGGCUGUAGUCGGUCCCAAGGGUUGGGCUGUUCGCCCAUUAAAGCGGUACGCGAGCUGGGUUCAGAACGUCGUGAGACAGUUCGGUCCCUAUCCGUCGUGGGCGUAGGAAAUUUGAGAGGAGCUGUCCUUAGUACGAGAGGACCGGGAUGGACAUACCUCUGGUGUACCAGUUGUCGUGCCAACGGCAUAGCUGGGUAGCUAUGUAUGGACGGGAUAAGUGCUGAAAGCAUCUAAGCAUGAAGCCCCCCUCGAGAUGAGAUUUCCCAACUUCGGUUAUAAGAUCCCUCAAAGAUGAUGAGGUGAAU
RNAcentral lists this ribosomal RNA (1196 nucleotides) under Staphylococcus pseudintermedius. RNAcentral's name for it is "partial 23S ribosomal RNA". It matches the Rfam family "Bacterial large subunit ribosomal RNA", at positions 1660 to 2857 of the family's 2925-position model. The record is from RNAcentral. Lineage: Bacteria; Bacillati; Bacillota; Bacilli; Caryophanales; Staphylococcaceae.